GUUAAGUUACAAAGGGCGCACGGUGGAUGCCUUGGCACUAGGAGCCGAUGAAGGACGGAACUAAUAC
Molecule: ribosomal RNA, 67 nt
Filed under: Lacticaseibacillus rhamnosus
Lineage: Bacteria; Bacillati; Bacillota; Bacilli; Lactobacillales; Lactobacillaceae
Description: Lactobacillus rhamnosus partial 23S ribosomal RNA
Source: RNAcentral